AUCGCGUUACUUGGAGAUUCACACGAUUGAGCACACGAAGCAAGUGAAAGGCAUUAGAUGUAGUGAGUUGGAAGGUCUGCAGAUAACCGCACAUAUCUAUUGUUCAUUUAAAAGGAUUGUUUUAAGGCAUUGAAUCAAUAUGGUGUUGAAACUAUAUGCUGUGUCUGAUGGUCCACCAUCGCUGUCAGUGCGGCAGGCACUAGCUGCACUGGACAUACCAUUUGAACUGAAAGACACAAAUUUUGGAGCUGGCGAACAUAUGGCAGAGGAAUAUGCGAAGAUGAAUCCACAGAAAGAAAUUCCUGUUCUGGACGACGACGGCUUCUACUUGAGUGAAAGUAACGCAAUUUUACAAUACCUGUGUGAUAAAUAUCAACCUCAAUCUGAAUUGUAUCCAAAAGACCCGAAAGCAAGGGCGAUCGUAAAUCAUCGGUUAUGUUUCAACUUAUCAACGUACUACGCAAACAUAUCGGCAUAUACAAUGGCGCCAAUAUUUUUUGACUACCAGCGAACAGAUUUGGGCCUGAAGAAGGUUCAUAUCGCUCUUGAUGUUUUCGAAACAUAUUUACAGCGAUUGGGAACCAAAUAUGCUGCAGCAAAUCAGCUCACCAUUGCUGAUUUUCAACUAAUUAAUUCCACUAUGACUUUGGAAGCUAUUGAUUUCGAUUUCUCCAAGUAUCAAAAGCUGACGUGACACCAGUCAGCAUGGGACCAACUUGGUGCUUAUUCUUUAGAGCUGCACCUGGGUACUCUUGCACAAAGGUUGGGAGACCACGAUAGUCCUCUUUGCCUUCUACACGAACACCCGAACCUAUACAAUUGUAUCGAUAAAUUAAUGAAUAGAAGUACAGAAGAAACUGCAGUAUAAACCUACAUUCCUGGUACAUUACCUGGUGAAAGAGGAGCUCCAGACAAAGCAGCUACGCCUGUAGCUGCUCGACCCUCCCUUGGAGUCUCUGAUGAUAAGCCCAGGAGUGAUGCAGCCCUACCACCAGUGCCUUGCCCCAUAACUACCAUUCGGGAGCGAUCACCACCAAAGAAUUCUAUGUAAUCAUUUAUCUGCAAUUGUAAAUUUGAACUGUCGUUAUUGACCGAAGUUUUAACUUUUACAACCCUAACAACUAUUUUUAUACCAAUAAAUAUGUUUUAUGUUGAAAAAAAUAAGAAAA
Colias croceus (clouded yellow) is the source of this 1169-nucleotide RNA transcript. It is a transcript of the gene named glutathione S-transferase 1-1, with no coding region annotated. NCBI's taxonomy places the organism in Eukaryota, Metazoa, Arthropoda, Insecta, Lepidoptera, Pieridae. The transcript has 7 exons. The record is from RefSeq and is a predicted model, not a curated record.